AUGGUAGCAGAGACGCGCGCCGCCCACCCGGACGGCGGGCGCGUCACGGCGGCGGCGGUGGUCGGCUGCAUCUGCCUCGACCACGUCGCGUGCGCCGAGUGCGAUCGCAUCCUCGGCAUCCCAUUCCUCGCGAUCGACGCACGGCCCCCGUCCCCACGGCGCGCGUCGACGACGCCGGGCUCAGGCUCGGGCUCAGGCUCGCCGCCCGUCCCCAUGGCGCGCAUCGGCGUCGGGCUCAGGCUCGGGAUCGGGCCGGGCACAUGCGGAGACGAGGCCCUGGCAGAGCGGUUCGACGCGUCCAUCUCCGGCAUGACGGAGCGGCUCGGUCUCGCGCCGGCCGUCAGGGAUCGGGCCGAGGAGGUGUUCAGGAAGAUGGAGGCGGCCAGGGCGUGGCCGCGCGGCCCGGGCUGGGCCAAGGGCCGGUCCCCCCGGGACAAGGGCAGGCUCUACGCGGCCUGCCUCUCCAUCGCGUGCCGCAACGAGGGCUCCCCGCGGUCGCUGAGGGAGCUGGCCCUGGCGACGGCGGACGGCAGCGCGGCGGCGAGGAAGGAGAUCGCCAAGCUGAUCGCGCACAUCAGGAAGCGCCUGGGCGAGGAGGAGGCCGGGCUGGCGACGGGCGUCGGCGCGGUCCCCGUCUACGGCUACCUGCGCCGCUUCGGGCCGCUGCUCGGGCUGGGGGACCGGGAGGCGGCGGCGGCGUGGGAGGCCGCGCGGAGGCUGGAGGAGGGCGUCCUCGACGUGCGGCACAACGCGGAGGCUGUUGCGGCCGCCGUCGUCUGCAUGGCCAUGGAGCGCGCAGGCGCCAGGAGGCACAUCAGGGAAGUGGCGACGGCCACCGGCAUCCCCUAUACCACCGUCUACCUCGUGUGCAGGAAACUGCGCCCCCACGCCGCGCUGCUCUUCGACUGA
This 909-nucleotide ribosomal RNA is filed under the name Triticum aestivum (bread wheat). RNAcentral's name for it is "partial small subunit ribosomal RNA". The record is from RNAcentral. Lineage: Eukaryota; Viridiplantae; Streptophyta; Magnoliopsida; Poales; Poaceae.